Molecule: long non-coding RNA, 2355 nt
Organism: Diceros bicornis minor
Lineage: Eukaryota; Metazoa; Chordata; Mammalia; Perissodactyla; Rhinocerotidae
Exons: 4
Source: RefSeq, a predicted model, not a curated record
CGGUGGUACCCGUCUUCCUUUCCCGAGGAGGAAAAAUGAGAGAGAGAAUCAAGUUGGAGCCGGCUUGGGCCGUGUUGGGGGCGGGAGUGCCAGACGCUGAGGCCUCAAGGGCUUCCGCAUCUGCUUCCGACUGACUGAAGUGUGAAGCGAGGUGUCAACAGUUCUGGAGGCUGGGAAGUCCAAGAUCAAGGUGCUGGUCAGUUCGGUUCCUGGUGAAGACUCUCUCCUUGGGUUGCAGAUUUCUCAUUACUUCCUCACAUGGCCUUUCCCCAGUGGCCAUCCUGCCUGAAACUCAGGAAACCAGGGUCCUGGUUGUGUAAUAUGAGUACACUUGAAAUGUACCUUGUCCUUAUUUGGCAGCCCAGAUGGAUGAAUACUGGCCCUGAAGUUGCUUUUCGUAAAACAGAGCCGGCCCAGUGGCGCAGCAGUUAAGUUCAUGUGCUCCGCUUCGGCAGCGCGGGGUUCGCCAGUUUGGAUCCUGGACGCAGACGUACUCACUGCUCAUCAAGCCAUGCGGAGGCGGCGUCCCACAUAGAAGAUCUAGAAGGACCUACAGCUAGGAUAUACAACUAUGUACUGGGGCUUUAGGGAGAAAAAAAGAAAAAGAGGAAGAUUGGCAACAGAUGUUAGCUCAGGGCCAAUCUUCCUCAAAAAAAAAAAAAAAGACUCAAGCUGGGGAAAAAAUAAAUAAAUAAAUGAAGUCUGAAGUCUCCGAUUGUUACCUGACCAGUUCCAAGGCAGCUGUCCACAGACAGGCAGCCAAGUGCCCUGGGUUCAAAUCCUCAAUCUGCUACUUACUGGCUACAUUUCCCUUCUCCAUGAAGUGAAGAUCAUCAUUCCUGCCUCCCAGGGGUGUUGGGAGAAGUGAGGAGGUGAUAUAUAGACGGUCUCUGUCUAUGGCACAUAUCCGUCUAUAACUGAUGAUAGAUGAGUUCUCAGUACAGCGAUUACUCCAGAGCAUGCCAGGAGUCCAGGUGCAACUCUGGCAGGACAGACCACGUGCUCUGUGAACAAACAACUGUCCUUCUGGAUAAAGGGUGUAUUUGGCCAGCAGCCAAGGACCCUGGGACGGCUUUGUGUAGCCUGGCCCUUCCUUCCUUUCUUCCUUUCAGCUUGGAGUGGGUGCAGCCUCGCAGAAGUUCGUGUUUCGUUCCUAAUUACCACUCAGGCUCUACUAUCAGCCUGUCUUUCAUUUCUACCACAGGCUUUCAGCCAGGCAGUUUGACAGAAUCUCGUCUGGAGCGUGUUAACUCUUUUCCCUCACCGCUGGCAGAGAUCUGGGAUCCGCUCUGCAUUAGGGCAAGUUGUAAGUAAACACACAUUUGCUCAAAUGUGGCCCCCCCUCCCAUCCCAUAGCCUUAUUUUAGAUUUGGGCAGCUUCAAGUCAGGGAACCAAAGAAUGCUUGAAAAAGACUUUACAAGUCAUUUGAUUGAGCCUACCUGUUUUACAGAGUAAAUUGAAGAUGUUUGGUUAAGUCACUCAUGUUUAUAUAGACAACUUGAGGAUACAGAUAGAGCUGGAAGUCAAGUCCUCUGUCUCUUAGUCCAAAACUUUUUCCACAAUAAGCCAGUACCUCAAUCAUUCAUUCAUUCCUUCAAAAAAUGUGUAUUGAGCAUCUAACACCUUAUGCCCGGUCCUUUUGUGGGCACUGGAGAAACAGAGAUAUAAGAAACGAUCUGCCCUUGAAGUGCUUAUGAACUAUCUGUUUGUCCAUCCAUCCAUCUAAUGCAUCUGUCUAUUCAUUCAUCCAUCCAUUUCUCCUGUCCAUCUCUCAUUCAUCUAUUCAUCUUCAUCCUUUUGUACAUUUGAUUUUGUCCAUUCAUUUCUCUAUCUCACCAUCCAUUUGUCCUCGUAUCUAUUCACCUUUCUAUCUGUCCAUUUAUCCUCGUUCUCAUCCAUAACCUGUUCUUAUUUCCAUGAGUCUACUUCUCUUUUGAUCCAUCCAUUGGUAUCUUCAUCCAUCCAGAAUUUAUUGAGUGUCUAUAUGGCUCUAGGUUUUUGGUUGGUAGUCAGGACUGAGAUAAAUAAGCAUUUGUAUUUGAGUUGUAUGAACAUAUGCUUUCUUGUCUCAUUGUUAAAUACCUUGGAGUGGAAUGGCUGGAUCAUGUGGUAGAUAUUUAACUUUUUAAGAAACUGCUAAAAUGUUUUUCAAAUAAUUUUUACCCUUUUACAUGUCUACAAGUUCCUCUACUGCCUUCCCAACUUUUUGCACGGUCAGUCUUUUUAAUUUUAUUCAUUCUAGUAGGUAUAGUUUUAAUUUUGUUAUUCCCCUAAUGACAAAUGUUGGUAAGCACCUUUUCAUGUGCUUAUUUGCUAUCCAUAUAUCAUUUUGGCAAAGUGCAUAGAAAUCUUAC